Molecule: long non-coding RNA, 607 nt
Organism: Stomoxys calcitrans (stable fly)
Lineage: Eukaryota; Metazoa; Arthropoda; Insecta; Diptera; Muscidae
Exons: 2
Source: RefSeq, a predicted model, not a curated record
AUUUGAAAACAAAAGUUCAAUUUGUUAACAUCGUUUGAAUAACAUUAAGAAAUUUUUUGGUGUCAAAUAAAAUAAAAUUUCUGAUAAUUAUAUUGUCUAAUUACAAGUCGGAAAUAAUUUUUUUGGGAGGAACUGGGAGCGUGCAUCUCCCAUUCCCCCCAAUAAUUUUUUAUUUGAGAACUUACGCGAAAGAGCCAAGAAAUAGCUUCUCCAGAAUACCAAAUUAUGAAUUUCUGAGGAAUUUGGCGCACCAUGACGAGUGGUUGUUGCCGUAAGUUUUCCUGUUGACCAUAUCGUAUAUUCCACAAAGUGGAAUUCAUUGACCAUUCGUUAUACAUACAGACAACCCUACAAAAACUAUUCUAAGAUAUAAUUCUACAUGAAUUUUCUCUUAAUUCUCGUUUUAUUAUUUUAAUUGAAAUUUUAUCUGUAGAAAUGUUGGUUAAAAAAUGUCUUUAAAUGAAAUAUUCUGCUUGUUAAUCUGAAAACAAUUUCCAAAAAAUAGUAUUUAAUUACAAAUUAUUUGAAUUACAUUAGCAAUGUAAUGAAAAAAAAUAAAGGACUCGGAAACUCAAUUUUAAAAGCCCGAAACGAUCAGCCAGAUUAA